Molecule: long non-coding RNA, 210 nt
Filed under: Panax ginseng (ginseng)
Lineage: Eukaryota; Viridiplantae; Streptophyta; Magnoliopsida; Apiales; Araliaceae
Description: long non-coding RNA (PGIN_LNC006812)
Source: RNAcentral
AAGUAUAAUAAUGAAAUAACAGUAUAAUAACAUGCGAGUAAAUCAAAGAUAUCUGAAUAAAAGCUCAACUUUUGAAUCAAGAAUGAAUAACAAGAAUCAAAAGAAUUCUGAGGGUCAUAAGACCUUGAACUAUGUCCUAGGUUAUCAAGGGUUAUACUUGAAACCUUUAACAAUCAUAAGACUAUGGACCUUUCUACUCGUACUUAGGGG